Long non-coding RNA from Pongo pygmaeus (Bornean orangutan), 5351 nucleotides. RefSeq lists it as uncharacterized. The transcript has 6 exons. Lineage: Eukaryota; Metazoa; Chordata; Mammalia; Primates; Hominidae. The record is from RefSeq and is a predicted model, not a curated record.
CCCGCUGUGGGAGCAGGGUGCAGCAGAGUGCAGACCUAGGGACAGCCGGAGAGCUUUGGGAUGUGGGUGUGGCCAGGAGCCACUGGGAUUUGCUCCCUGGGAGAGUAGCACCUGUGGAACGGUCCCACAUAGGACAGUGGGUCCUGGAGGAGUCCCGCGAGGGGGUGUUUCUGUCCCGGGGGUGGUCGUGUCCCAGGCACAAGCUCCCCUUUGUGUCUGGGGAAGCCCUGGGCAGUAGAAUCCAUGGAGUUGGAGGUGGGUUUCGUCCCCGCAAGUGCACAGAGUAAAGGGAGUGCCUGCAGCCAGAGUCAGGAGUCCCAGGAAUUGGGCCAGGACCACAGCCCCUUCUGCCUUCCUGAGAGGCACUGAGGGGCCCUGCCCCCUGGGUCUGUGUAAACCUAGGGUGGUCUCCUUGUCGUUUGUGAGACUGAUCAUCCCGGGUGGGAAGUCCUUCUGAGUGACAGCCAUCCGUACCCCCUGCCCCACCCCCGGGAGACUGGCUUCUCCACACCCAGCACCUGCUGCAGAUGGAGGUUCCACUUAGGACGGGGCCUCUGUGCUUCGUGCCUGAGCCUGAGACGAUCCCGCCGGAGGCCGAUUUCCAGCCCCGCUCACCGGUGGAUCGGAAAGGGCCCAGAGUGCAGGACCCUGGGCUGCAUGAAGUACAGGCAGCAGCAUGGCCAGCAUGGAGGACCCCAGUCACUGAAAGUGCCUUUAUGCAGCUCCAGCAGGGCCUCCCCACAGUCUCCCCAUCCCUAAAUUCACUUGGAACCUGCAACUGAACCUUCUGGGGCUCUGGUCACUGGCUGCCUUCAAGGGAGUGGGGCCAGGGGACCAGGACUGACAGAACAUGACCUGAGGUCAAGGACGGCCGGCCGCGGCAGCUCAAAGGAGGAGGAGACUGGUGUGGACCGCGGGGAGGCAGGUGGCUGGGUGAUGACAGGCACAGCACUGGAGAGACUGCAGAGGCUGGGAUGUGAGCCUACAUCAGGGCAGGAGCUACAGAUGAGUAAACGGAAGCACAGAGCGGUGAAGUCUUGACUCCAGGAGUCUGAGACAUGCCCUUGUACCAAUGGCUGAGGGGGCCCCGCCUUCCUGUCCACUGUGACCAGGAUGCUCCUGCUCUGUUCCAGACUCUGUUCCAGUGAGAAGGAAUACACAGACCUUGGACUGACCGUCCCAGAGGCGGAACUCCUUGUGGGUGCUGCCAGAGCUGCGGGGCUGAGAGCUGCGCAGAACAGAGGUCAGAUGAUGAGACUGGGGCUGCAGGAGCAGCUGAUUCCAUCUUGCCCUGCAGGAAAGACUGGGAGGCCGUCCCCGUGGUCUCACUGGCCUCUGCAUGGUGACCGGGGUCUCCAGGGGAGUGGCCGGGUGCCCUGUUGGACGUUCUGUAGCGAAUUUGUCUCUGGGAGAAGAGCAGAGAGAUGAAGGCCUCCAUGCCACAGCCCAGGCCGUGUGCAUUUGGUGUUGACCUUGGCCACAGGCCGAGGGCGCGUCUGCGAGGUCUCUGCAUUGCAAGGCCCUUCUCCUCCUGAACUGAAGGCCUUCUUCCUCCUUUCCCCUCCUGAUUCUCUCGCCCUCCUGGUGCAUCCAGGUGCCUGUGAUCCUGUUCCCGUCCUCAGCAUCCCGGGCUCCGUUCUUUCCACCUGGCGUGUCGUUCCCUGAGCUGGAAGCUCCUGCCUGGGUCCUGUCCUCCUGCUGUUCCUCAUCCAAAGUUUCAUGGACACCAAGACAGGCAGCGCCCUCCACCACAAGCUGGGGAGCCCUCGGGCCCUGGUGUCACCACAUCUUCUUGGACACCUCCACCUUCCUGGCUUCUGCCUCUUCUUCCUUCUGACGUCUUUGUCCUGCAGACACCCUGGGUCUUGCUCUGGGUGAGGCAUCCUGGAGCUGAGACCUUGAGGCCUGACCUAGUGGUGCCCCUCGGCACGGCCCCUUCCUGACAACACAGUGGUGUCACAGGAUUGAUUCUAAUGCCUCAUGCUCCCUAACAGUGAAAGUGACAGUCAACUGGGCCUGUAGCAUGUUCAGAGGAGCUGGCGAGGAACCCCCUGGCGCCCAGGAAAGCUGGAUCUAGCGCAGCCCCGCACAGCCUUGGUGGAGGCCAGCUGUGCCGUUUGCCACAUGCCCUGGGGUGCACGCUGUCUGAGGGUGCACCCUGUGCAGUGACAUGGUGGUAGCCCCCAUGUGGAGGGAACAACAGCAGUGAAGACCCAGGAACCGCCGGCUUCCAGGAGGAGGCCCUGGUCUUUCUUCAGAGCAACUUCGAGGUGUGACCCAGGAUACACUUUGGAGAAUGCUGUCCGAUGGGCAGCCCCGGCCUCUGGUGGAAGUACACGUCCCUCAUCCCAAUAUAAGUGCGGGCCAACUCCUUGUGCGGAUACCCAGGUGUUCACUUCCCUGUCCAUGGAGCACACAUGAAGCACCUACUGAGUGCAGGGGCACCACAGGUGUUGGGCAGAAGGGGCAGCUGGAGGGCUUUGGGGCCGGGGAGGGACAGGAGGUGCUCGCUCUCGUCCUUCCUUGAGUGGGGCUGUCUCAAGAGCUGGGUUCAAGGGUGAUGCUUCCCUUGUCUGUUGUAGGCCUAAUGGAGGAUCCGGGGCAGCAGGACCCAGAGAAGUUGUCUCUGGCCAUGAGCUUGGCCCUGAGCUCUGUGAGUGGCUCUGCCCUCCCUGCUUGUCCAGGUGCCUCCCGCAUCCCAAGCUCAGGGCAGCCCGGGUCUUUCAGUUCAGUGCUGAAGAGAGUGCCCUCCAUGUGUGCCCGCCAUCUCUUCGGAAGGCCGCCUCUGCUCUGAGGGUGCGGUGUGGGCCCUUACUCUUUGAAGGGUUGCGGUGAUGGAUGGGUGAGCGUGUGUGGGGUUCGAGAGUGACCCAGGUCGGUCCUACCACCUGGAGCUUGCAGACGGGAGCCCCAGGUGAGAGUGGGGUUCCUCCCAACUAGGGGGCAGUGGGAGGUGCUGGCUGGGUCUGUCUCCCGUGAGGGCCGGGCCCAGGUGACUGUCGAUGGUGAGAGGGGUGUGGCCGCCCUCCCGAGAGCCCACAGUCAGUGGAUCAGGAGCAAAUGUCUCAGCCUCGAAGGUGCCUAAGGCCCUUGCCCAGCUGCGGUUGAGAACCUUCUGCAGGCCAAGCAAAUGGGAGCUGCAGCAGGGAGAUUAGGCAGCCUGCCGGCCGUGGGAUCGGCUGCAACAGGGAACCUGGGGUCUGCUCCUGGGAACACCUUCCUGGGCUGCCCCUACCUGGCCGAUUGGACCCAGGUGGCGGCUCUAACCCAUCCUGCCCACCGUGCGGGCCUGAGGUGCGUGAACAGGAUCCAGGCCCAUGGCCACUAACUGUGUUAUUCCUGUGCGUUCCUUGCCACCAACCCUCCCACCCCAGGCCCCUCCACCUGAGUCCUCAGCCCUAAGGCCCCUGUGUCUCUGCCCCCAGAGCCAGGCACGGGGCCAGCACCCAGAGUUUGUGGCCCUCUUUUGCUACUGAUUCAUCCGUCUGGGACUGGGUUCUGGUCAAGGGGACUUCCUGAGAAGCCAGUGGGGCUUAGCUUCCAGCUUCGGGGUCCCUUCUUGCACGGACCUCUGCAACACCCUGCACCCUGCACCCAAGUUUUGUGCGGCCUACCAUCCUCUGGGCCUGGGACUUGAGGCAUCCCAGCCUCUUCCUACCACCAUGUGGGGCAUUAAUCAUAGGGUUGACAUUCUCCCCACUGGACACAACAGUGCGUCCACUUUUGAAGCUGUCAAAAGAGCUGUGUAUGAUUCAGGGCAAAAUGGGAUUCUCAGAAUCCCCAGAAUUCACUGGGGAAAAUAAUGAAAUGAAGGAGAAAUAUAAUCCAGCAAAGACCCUGCUAGCCCCCUGGGGGUUCUGGCAGAGCCAGGGUCCCUGCCCCAGCUUGCACCCCAGGAGUUAUGUGGAGGAAGUGAGCAGUGCCUCCUUCAUGCUUUCUGACUGCUCUGGCCAGAACCCCACUGCAGUAGAUGAGAAACUGCUGCAGAGCCCAGGAAGGAGAUCCUGCCCUGGGCUGGCCCCCAGCUUUCUCCAGCCGUCACCCCCCAAACUAGUUGUGCCUAGAAGCUCCCAGGGGUUGUGAGGUCAUUGCCCAGAUGUGUGUCGGCCAGGCCUGUGGUUGCUAGUUAGUAACUGUCCAAGGGGGGGCACUGGACCAUCUCCUGCAGGAGCCGCUGCACUGUGCCCGGUCCCAGGUAGGAAUUCAGGCCUUGCCAGGGCACCAAGGGACCCACUGUGGGACCAGCAACCUGGCUGCCUGCACAGGUGGCAGAAGAUUUCAGUAGAAACAGCACCAAGCAGUGCCAGGACCCCUGGGCCAGGCCAGGAUUAGGAAAGCAAAUUGGACCUGUUAGAAAACUCCGGGGCCAGCAGGGAAGCGGGGAGCCUGCCCUGUGUCAGCCAAAUGGUUAAAGGAGAAGAGUAGAAUCCAGGGGAAAUCAAGCCGUCAAUCAGCCUGAUGCAUAUUCAUGAGGCGCCAGCCCUCCCCGGGCCUGUGCAGCAGUGUGCUCCCCUCUGUCUGAGCUGCUGUGACAUGGCAGCUUCCGCCUCCGCCUGCCUGCAGUCAGCCCCGAUUGGCCCAGCCGCUCUCUUGAAAAUGCCAUAGCAACCCCUGGCUGGUUGCCUAGCAAUUCCUCCCUUUUCCCUUUUCCUCCCCUAAAGCCCAAGCCAGUAAUCCACAGGCUACUAGUGGAACAUGUCUCUGUGCCAUGGCAAGUGCCUGUGUGUGUGUGUGUGUGUGUGCACGCGUGUGUGUGAGAGGACAGAUCUGGAAGGGACCACUUCCUGCCAGCAGCGUCUCAAAGACUUGGGAGUGCACCUGCUGCCUGUCUCAGUACCAGCUCACCUGCUCAGGGGAAGGGGACAUGGGGGCAUAGACCCCUGGCCCUGGCAGGGCAUCCUGUGCUGCUCACUUCAUUAUCACCAACCAGGAUCCCCAAACCUGAGUCACUGGGGAGCCGUGGCUGCCAUCAGCAUGGUGGGAUGGAGGGUUGGCCUUCAGCCCUCCCAGGUUCCUUGAUGCUGAAGCAAAGAUGACUUUGACGCUCAGGCCCCAGCCAGCGGAAGGACAACGGGCUUCUGCCAUUCCGUGGACCAAUGUGGGUCCGAAGGGUCCACCAUUCUGCACAGGGCCAACUUCAGGGCAGCUGUCCGGGGCUGCAGAUGCUCCCUCACAGGCCAGGUGGGGCUUUCAGCUGUGACAAAGUCCGGAUGUCCACCCCUGGUGAAGCCACUAGGAGGCUGUGGGGGAGCCGAGGGCAGUGUCUAGGAGCCAUUGAGUUCAUCUCAAGGCUCUCUUUCCUCUUGGAUAGUGUGUGCCUGUUUGCAUGUGUGUGCCUGUUUGCAUGUGUG